UACGUAGGUGGCAAGCGUUGUCCGGAUUUAUUGGGUUUAAAGGGUGCGUAGGCGGCCUUGUAAGUCAGUGGUGAAAUACUCUAGCUUAACUAGAGGGGUGCCAUUGAUACUGCAGGGCUUGAGUACAGACGAGGUAGGCGGAAUUGACGGUGUAGCGGUGAAAUGCAUAGAUAUCGUCAAGAACUCCGAUAGUGAAGACAGCUUACUAGGCUGUAACUGACGCUGAGGCACGAAAGUGUGGGGAUCAAACAGG
This 253-nucleotide ribosomal RNA is filed under the name uncultured bacterium. RNAcentral's name for it is "partial 16S ribosomal RNA". It matches the Rfam family "Bacterial small subunit ribosomal RNA", at positions 524 to 776 of the family's 1533-position model. The record is from RNAcentral. RNAcentral also lists the same sequence under 1 other name.